RNAcentral lists this long non-coding RNA (259 nucleotides) under Capsella rubella. RNAcentral describes it as "long non-coding RNA (CRUB_LNC001663)". Lineage: Eukaryota; Viridiplantae; Streptophyta; Magnoliopsida; Brassicales; Brassicaceae. The record is from RNAcentral.
UAAAUGUUGCCAUAAAUUUCAGCUUUAUAUAAUAACUAAACGUUGCCUUAAAAAAAAGUAUGUCAUUUUCUCAUUAGCUAUAGGUGUAUACACUUGUCGUUUUUUUUUUUUUUGAAUAAGUAUUCACUUGUAGUAUUUUUUUUGUCAACAUCAAUAAUAAAGACUCAAAAUAGCCAAAAGUGAGGAAUGUUGUUUACAUACAAACAAAUCAGCGGCUCAGCACGCACUCUACGUUCUAACAUAUCCGCUUUAAGAUUAG